GAUGAACGCUGGCGGCGUGCCUAAUACAUGCAAGUCGAGCGAACAGAUGAGGAGCUUGCUCCUCUGACGUUAGCGGCGGACGGGUGAGUAACACGUGGAUAACCUACCUAUAAGACUGGGAUAACUUCGGGAAACCGGAGCUAAUACCGGAUAAUAUAUUGAACCGCAUGGUUCAAUAGUGAAAGACGGUUUUGCUGUCACUUAUAGAUGGAUCCGCGCCGCAUUAGCUAGUUGGUAAGGUAACGGCUUACCAAGGCAACGAUGCGUAGCCGACCUGAGAGAGUGAUCGGCCGCACUGGAGCUGAGACACGGUCCAGACGACUACGGGAGGCAGCAGUAGGGAAUCUUCCGCAGUGGUCGAAAGCCUGACGGAGCAACGCCACGUGAGAGAUGAAGGUCUUCGGAUCGUAAAACUCUGUUAUUAGGGAAGAACAAAUGUGUAAGGAACUAUGCACGUCUUGACGGUACCGAAUCAGAAAGCCACGGCUAACUACGUG
Molecule: ribosomal RNA, 497 nt
Filed under: uncultured bacterium
Lineage: Bacteria
Description: partial 16S ribosomal RNA
Rfam family: Bacterial small subunit ribosomal RNA
Source: RNAcentral